This is a non-coding RNA of Triticum aestivum (bread wheat), 135 nucleotides long. The record is from Rfam. NCBI's taxonomy places the organism in Eukaryota, Viridiplantae, Streptophyta, Magnoliopsida, Poales, Poaceae.
UUUCUACUCCCUCCGUCCGAAAAUACUUAUCAUCAAAAUGGAUAAAAAGAGAUGUAUCUAAAACUAAAAUACGUCUAGAUACAUUUCCUUUUAUCCAUUUUGAUGACAAGUAUUUCCGGACGGAGGGAGUAUUUG